RNAcentral lists this ribosomal RNA (440 nucleotides) under uncultured bacterium. Its description in RNAcentral is "partial 16S ribosomal RNA". It matches the Rfam family "Bacterial small subunit ribosomal RNA", at positions 339 to 795 of the family's 1533-position model. The record is from RNAcentral.
CUACGGGGUGCUCCAGUGAGGAAUAUUGCACAAUGGGGGGAACCCUGAUGCAGCAACGCCGCGUGGAGGAUGACGCAUUUCGGUGUGUAAACUCCUUUUAUAUGUCAAGAAAAUGACGGUAGCAUAUGAAUAAGCACCGGCUAACUCCGUGCCAGCAGCCGCGGUAAUACGGAGGGUGCAAGCGUUACUCGGAAUCACUGGGCGUAAAGGACGCGUAGGCGGGUUGGAAAGGCAGGUGUGAAAUCCUACAGCUUAACUGUAGAACUGCACUUGAAACUUCUAAUCUAGAGUAUGGGAGGGGGAGAUGGAAUUAGUGGUGUAGGGGUAAAGUCCGUAGAUAUCACUAGGAAUACCUAAAGCGAAGGCGAUCUCCUGGAACAUUACUGACGCUAAGGCGUGAAAGCGUGGGGAGCAAACAGGAUUAGAUACCCCUCGUAGUC